CCUACGGGAUGCAGCAGUGGGGAAUAUUGCACAAUGGGGGAAACCCUGAUGCAGCGACGCCGCGUGAGCGAGGAAGUAUUUCGGUAUGUAAAGCUCUAUCAGCAGGGACGAAAAAAGACGGUACCUGACUAAGAAGCCCCGGCUAACUACGUGCCAGCAGCCGCGGUAAUACGCAGGGGGCAAUCGUUAUCCGGAUUUACUGGGUGUAAAGGGAGCGUAGACGGCAGCGCAAGUCUGAAGUGAAAUGCCGGGGCUUAACCCCGGAACUGCUUUGGAAACUGUGCAGCUAGAGUGCAGGAGAGGUAAGUGGAAUUCCUAGUGUAGCGGUGAAAUGCGUAGAUAUUAGGAGGAACACCAGUGGCGAAGGCGGCUUACUGGACUGUAACUGACGUUGAGGCUCGAAAGCGUGGGGAGCAAACAGGAUUAGAUACCCGGGUAGUC
RNAcentral lists this ribosomal RNA (441 nucleotides) under uncultured bacterium. RNAcentral's name for it is "partial 16S ribosomal RNA". It matches the Rfam family "Bacterial small subunit ribosomal RNA", at positions 338 to 795 of the family's 1533-position model. The record is from RNAcentral.